GCAGACAAUAGUGAUUUUUCUUUUCAUAUACACCAUGAAUGUGUAAUAAACCCACAAAUGGAGAAGAUACUAUAUCUAAAAGUAAUUUUCAUUGAUGAAUUUUAGAUGACAUUCUCUUGUUUUUGUAUUGGGUAUUGACGAGUGAAAAUUUGAAGACUAUUUAUUUAGGUAAUAGGAUUGAAAGAUUGUUGUUAGUGAAGUUUUUAGAACGAAAAAAAAAACAUGAUUCAGAAUUAUAGAGAAAGCUUAUAAAGAUUUUUUUUUCUUUUGUCUGCUUCAGUGAAGGCUUUAGUAAGGUAUUUCUCGUUUAAAAUUUAGUCAUUUAGUUAUAUCCAACUUAUGCAAUUAGCUUAAAUUUGUUGAACUCUAGUUCUCAACCCAUUUUUUCGUUGUGUUCCUCUUCAGAUUGUGAGUCGCUAUUGUCCAUGGUUGUCUCCGCCAGAUUUGUGAGAUAUUCAAUGACUUUGGUUUCGGUUCUCUUAGCCUUGGUGAAGUACAUGAGAACUUGGAGAGGUUUAAAGAAUCUGAUUAUUUUCAUGGGCUAUGUUUGUUGUUGUAAGACUUUCAGGUUCAACACUCCACUAGUUUGUUAAAUUUACUCAACCAAUCUUAUGUAUCAUUUGUAUGGAAGCAAAUCUAUAGGAAAUUUAAGCUUGAUAAAAGUAACACCUGCUUACUGCUAUUAUAUGUUGCAAUUUUCAUGAGGUUGGUUUUUAAGUUUCGGGUAUUGCUUCAUGCUAAUAUUAUUUUGUUGCAUAUCA
Long non-coding RNA from Humulus lupulus (European hop), 761 nucleotides. RefSeq lists it as uncharacterized. The transcript is spliced from 2 exons. The record is from RefSeq and is a predicted model, not a curated record. NCBI's taxonomy places the organism in Eukaryota, Viridiplantae, Streptophyta, Magnoliopsida, Rosales, Cannabaceae.